GUGAGGGAACGGCUCACCAGGGCAACGAUACGUAGGGGGACUGAGAGGUUAACCGCCCACAUUGGUACUGAGACACGGACCAAACUCAUACGGGAGGCAGCAGUGAGGAAUAUUGGUCAAUGGACGCAAGUCUGAACCAGCCAUGCCGCGUGCAGGAAGACGGCUCUAUGAGUUGUAAACUGCUUUUGUACUAGGGUAAACGCUCUUACGUGUAGGAGCCUGAAAGUAUAGUACGAAUAAGGAUCGGCUAACUCCGUGCCAGCAGCCGCGGUAAUACGGAGGAUCCAAGCGUUAUCCGGAUUUAUUGGGUUUAAAGGGUGCGUAGGCGGUUUGAUAAGUUAGAGGUGAAAUACCGGGGCUCAACUCCGGAACUGCCUCUAAUACUGUUGAACUAGAGAGUAGUUGCGGUAGGCGGAAUGUAUGGUGUAGCGGUGAAAUGCUUAGAGAUCAUACAGAACACCGAUUGCGAAGGCAGCUUACCAAACUAUAUCUGACGUUGAGGCACGAAAGCGUGGGGAGCAAACAGGAUUAGAUACCCUGGUAGUCCACGCAGUAAACGAUGAUAACUCGUUGUCGGCGAUACACAGUCGGUGACUAAGCGAAAGCGAUAAGUUAUCCACCUGGGGAGUACGUUCGCAAGAAUGAAACU
This 649-nucleotide ribosomal RNA is filed under the name uncultured bacterium. RNAcentral describes it as "bacterial SSU rRNA". It matches the Rfam family "Bacterial small subunit ribosomal RNA", at positions 252 to 901 of the family's 1533-position model. The record is from RNAcentral.